AACGCUAGCUACAGGCUUAACACAUGCAAGUCGUGGGGCAUCAGGAAGAAAGCUUGCUUUCUUUGCUGGCGACCGGCGCACGGGUGAGUAACACGUAUCCAACCUGCCCUUUACUCGGGGAUAGCCUUUCGAAAGAAAGAUUAAUACCCGAUAGCAUAAUGAUUCCGCAUGGUUUCAUUAUUAAAGGAUUCCGGUAAAGGAUGGGGAUGCGUUCCAUUAGGUUGUUGGUGAGGUAACGGCCCACCAAGCCUUCGAUGGAUAGGGGUUCUGAGAGGAAGGUCCCCCACAUUGGAACUGAGACACGGUCCAAACUCCUACGGGAGGCAGCAGUGAGGAAUAUUGGUCAAUGGGCGCUAGCCUGAACCAGCCAAGUAGCGUGAAGGAUGAAGGCUCUAUGGGUCGUAAACUUCUUUUAUAUAAGAAUAAAGUGCAGUAUGCAUACUGUUUUGUAUGUAUUAUAUGAAUAAGGAUCGGCUAACUCCGUGCCAGCAGCCGCGGUAAUACGGAGGAUCCGAGCGUUAUCCGGAUUUAUUGGGUUUAAAGGGAGCGUAGGUGGAUUGUUAAGUCAGUUGUGAAAGUUUGCGGCUCAACCGUAAAAUUGCAGUUGAUACUGUCAGUCUUGAGUACAGUAGAGGUGGGCGGAAUUCGUGGUGUAGCGGUGAAAUGCUUAGAUAUCACGAAGAACUCCGAUUGCGAAGGCAGCUCACUGGACUGCAACUGACACUGAUGCUCGAAAGUGUGGGUAUCAAACAGGAUUAGAUACCCUGGUAGUCCACACAGUAAACGAUGAAUACUCGCUGUUUGCGAUAUACAGUAAGCGGCCAAGCGAAAGCAUUAAGUAUUCCACCUGGGGAGUACGCCGGCAACGGUGAAACUCAAAGGAAUUGACGGGGGCCCGCACAAGCGGAGGAACAUGUGGUUUAAUUCGAUGAUACGCGAGGAACCUUACCCGGGCUUAAAUUGCAGUGGAAUGAUGUGGAAACAUGUCAGUGAGCAAUCACCGCUGUGAAGGUGCUGCAUGGUUGUCGUCAGCUCGUGCCGUGAGGUGUCGGCUUAAGUGCCAUAACGAGCGCAACCCUUAUCUUUAGUUACUAACAGGUUAUGCUGAGGACUCUGGAGAGACUGCCGUCGUAAGAUGUGAGGAAGGUGGGGAUGACGUCAAAUCAGCACGGCCCUUACGUCCGGGGCUACACACGUGUUACAAUGGGGGGUACAGAAGGCAGCUAGCGGGUGACCGUAUGCUAAUCCCAAAAGCCUCUCUCAGUUCGGAUCGAAGUCUGCAACCCGACUUCGUGAAGCUGGAUUCGCUAGUAAUCGCGCAUCAGCCACGGCGCGGUGAAUACGUUCCCGGGCCUUGUACACACCGCCCGUCAAGCCAUGGGAGCCGGGGGUACCCGAAGUACGUAACCGCAAGGAUCGUCCUAGGGUAAAACUGGUGACUGGGG
Molecule: ribosomal RNA, 1445 nt
Filed under: uncultured organism
Description: SSU rRNA
Rfam family: Bacterial small subunit ribosomal RNA
Source: RNAcentral